RNAcentral lists this long non-coding RNA (1647 nucleotides) under Hordeum vulgare. RNAcentral's name for it is "long non-coding RNA (HVUL_LNC020093)". The record is from RNAcentral. Lineage: Eukaryota; Viridiplantae; Streptophyta; Magnoliopsida; Poales; Poaceae.
ACUCACCUUUCCUAAACACACGUUGGCCAACCGAAACCGUACCUCCAUCCCUCCCGCAGUCCCGCGACCCAGCAGCAGAUCCCCGCCGCUCCCACCCAUCGCGCCUCCACCCUCCCUCCCCUUCCCAAAUCUCGCCUCCGCGGCUUCAAGACUCGGCGCUCGGCGAGGGAGGCGCGGUGAGGAGGACGUGGAUGGGGUGACUGUUCGACUGCUUCCGCGCGGCGGUGAGCCGCGCCCGCGCCCAGCUCGUCUCCUCCGCCGUCGCUCUGUCCGCCAACCCCAAGGUCUUCUCCUUCCUCCCUCUUCCGUUGCGCCCCGCGCGGAACCCGUGUGUGCCCGUUCCCGGACACGGAUCAGCUAGCCAUGGGGGGUUUGGAAAUUCGAUCCGUGAUUGGUUAAUUUUGCGUAUUUGUGUGUCUCUACUGACCAGGUCGGCGAGAGGAGGGCGGCGCCGUCCAGGAACGCGCUGUCCGCCGUGUUCCUGCGCGAAGGUCCGCUUUUUUCCUGUCCAAAUUUGUGUCUCUCCUUCUCGACCCAAGGUUCUGAUUUUGUGCCGUCGGUGUAGAUGAGGGAUCGCAGGCCACGAGCUCGGGGUCGGGCCGGGACGCGGAGAGGACGAGGGUGGAUCCGGAGCUCACGCGCGGGGAGGUAUGGCAAUCGGUCCUGCGAAUCUGGCCCGGUUCAGAUCUGCUUCCUUGCUAGUCUAUUCCGAGCUGUGUCUUACCACUUGAGAGCUGAAGUUUUUCUGGCUAGUGACACAUGUGCAUCAGUUUCAGUUGUUUGUUCAGCGCUGUCCUGAUCCACACUGGCAUUAGUUGCACAAAAAUGCAGCAUUGCACCUGUGAGCCGGCUGUUGUUCAGUUGUUUGUUUGCACUUUCCACUGAUAUACGAGUUCAAUGGAUCCAGCUAUUAUAGGUUUUAUAAUUGUGUUUAUAAUGACAAUCAGCAUCACGUCGUCAUUGGUCAACUGACUGAAUAUCCCACACUCCUAACGUCUACGCGGAGGCACUCCCAGGCAGGUCCCAAGUGCCAAAACAUUACUACAAACCGACGGCGUCGAACGGCCAACAAAACCGGCCCUCCAGCACUCACUACACCAAUAGAAACCAGGCAACACCACAUGAUACUCCUACAAGGUGAAGUAUCCACAACACAUGGACAUGGAUACAGCCAUCAUGGCCAAUGGGCCGCUCACAGCUCCGUGCCCAACGGGACGCCAAAUACGGGGCUGCUCACGAGCAUCCCCUGCAUCCGUCUUGGUCCUACCCGCAAUUUUUUUUGUCAUAUUGGCCUGUUUUGUGUCAGUGAGAGGGGGCGAUUUGUGAGGCACUACUGUACUACUGUUUUCUUGUUUUCUAUGUAUAUAUGUUGACAGAUGCGGAAAAUGAGAGUUUCUUAUUCUUGUAGCAUGUAUUUGACAGUAAUUUGACAUAUGUAUAUGCCAAGCACGAAUAGUUUUGUAGUGUUAGGCUAGUAAGAGUAAGAGGUCUGCAUCAUGUAUUUGACUAGUUGUUACUCAUUUGCUUAUUUGGAUACAGAAAUGUGUUGUCGUGUUAGUAAAAUUUGGUCUUCUGUUGUUUCUAUUGAACAGGGGAUGAGUACCUUGUGGCCGACACUGAUGGAGUUGGGACGAAGCUGAAGCUCGC